UAUGAACUCUGGUCUGUGUAUCACAGUCAUU
RNAcentral lists this non-coding RNA (31 nucleotides) under Rattus norvegicus (Norway rat). Lineage: Eukaryota; Metazoa; Chordata; Mammalia; Rodentia; Muridae. The record is from RNAcentral.